RNAcentral lists this transfer RNA (93 nucleotides) under Salmo salar (Atlantic salmon). It matches the Rfam family "tRNA". From Rfam's summary of the family: Transfer RNA (tRNA) molecules are approximately 80 nucleotides in length. The record is from Rfam by way of RNAcentral. Lineage: Eukaryota; Metazoa; Chordata; Actinopteri; Salmoniformes; Salmonidae.
UUCCCUGUGGCUCAGUUGGUAGAGCAUGGUGUUUGCAACACCAGCAUGGUGUGUGCAACGCCAAGGUUGUGGGUUUGAUUCCCACGGGGGGCA